CAGGAGGCUAAGGCAAGAGGAUCACUUGAGAACACACAAGUUUGAGACUAGUCUGAGAAAUGUAGUAAAAUCCCAUCUUAAAAAUAAAUAUCCUACCUCCUACAUAUUUCCAUUUCCCAGCUUCUUCUUCUCCACCUCUUUUGGCCUGUUAUUGUCUUUCCUGACAGUUUUCUCCUACCAAAGGUUGCUACAAGUCAAUACUUUUGCCCUUAAAUGUCUCACUAAAAAAAUCUCAGGAAGCCACUCUUGCCCUAGGGAUGCCCUAAAUUAGGCAAAAGCAAUGCCAACCCUUGUAUAAGUCUUUUGAGGGAGCCCCAGGCAGGUCGAAACAUACAAGCACAAUUUAUUUGAGGAUAAGAUCUGUAUUGCUUCCUAUGCCACCUGCAACUGCACCAGAAAGUUGAGCCUGCCAUGUACAUGGCUCUUGGUAUUUCAGAGAGUAGGGGUUGUGGGAAGGUGAUUUAAAGUGCCAAAAUCCUAUCUUGCUAAAUAUAGCCAUUCCUUUUUGGUUUUAUUUUCCCCCGGGUGUUGUAAGUUUUUAAGUAGAUACAAGAGUUCUGCAAAUGUUAAUUCUUACUGUUUUUUUUUUUUCCACCUUAUUAGUUUUUUUCUGGACAGACGGAUUUUUCUUAGAGCUACCCACUCUACCAUAUUUGUCCAAUUCAUCAUGAUGUCUCACAGAGCAUGGUAUAAUUAAUCCAUGUUUCUGCUCAAUUUGAGCAGAGAGGAAAGCCAUGUUAAUUUGAGUGCUAAUUAUCAUGGAGCAUGUUACUUCUGGAAUGAUUCAUCCUACAUCCAGAGCAAAAGGAAUUUUUUGAUCUUCUCCCAGUCACUCACUGUGCUGGACUCAAGGGUAUUUAGUAGCCCUGAUCCCAGAAGAAAGUAGCCGACUAUUGAAUAACAUAAAGUGACAAAUUUGUCUCAGCUGCACAUACCUUUAUUAUUCUCUUUUUCCUUUUCUCUUUCUCUCUUUCUGAGUUUGUUAAAAUGCUUUUAACAUUCUAGAGGAAUCCAAGAGACAGUUUUUGAUAAGGAUAUAAAGCAUUCAUAUCAUCUUUAAUACUUAACAGUCAUUUCAUUCUAUGUUUCAAACAACUUGACCCAUACCCAAUGUCAGGACAAAGCCAGGAAAUAGACAAGGAUAAAUAGUAUGUGGCCCUAUCUUUACUUGGGACACAGGGAGUAGACAUGAUAAGGGUUCCAAUUCAAAAUAUUCCAUCCUGAUGUAAUUGUAUGGAGGAGAUUCACAGUAAAAAGAAGCAAUGUACUAUAAUCCUGUUCAUGACUUGUGUUCAUUAGCAAGAGAAGUUGAGCAAUUUCAAUAGCAUACAUUUCUGAGUCAUGGAGUACAUGAACUCGUGGAGUUAUUUUCUAAUUUCAGUGCUUAUUUUCUAAGCCAAGGCAGGCAACUCUGAAACUCAAUGGAUACUUAAACAUUAGAGUGGCUUAUUCACCAUGUCUGAUUAGACGAAUUCACCCCAGGUCCAUAUGAAAGACAAUCACAGUACAGGAGACCCCUUUCCUAGAAAAGGAAUCCAGACUAUCAUGAUCGAUGCUCCAGUGUUGUAUAAAGUUGGACUCAUAAUUAUGAAAUGGAAAAAAAUUAGAUUUAUUGUUACAAUUGCCCAUAAGGUCCAUUUGGGGAGUUGGGACUUGCAAAGUAAAAUAGCAUAUGUAGACAUAGUAGAGUGCAUACUG
Molecule: long non-coding RNA, 1698 nt
Filed under: Marmota monax (woodchuck)
Lineage: Eukaryota; Metazoa; Chordata; Mammalia; Rodentia; Sciuridae
Source: RNAcentral